AUUGAACGCUGGCGGCAUGCCUUACACAUGCAAGUCGAACGGCAGCACGGGUGCUUGCACCUGGUGGCGAGUGGCGAACGGGUGAGUAAUACAUCGGAACACGUCCUGUAGGGGGGGAUAGACCGGCGAAAGCCGGAUUAAUACCGCAUACGAUCUACGGAUGACAGCGGGUGACCUUCGGGCCUCGCGCUAUAGCAUUGGCCGAUGGCUGAUUAGCUAGUUGGUGGGGUAAAGGCCUACCAAGGCGACGAUCAGUAGCUGGUCGGAGAGGACGACCAGCCACACUGGAACUGAGACACGGCCAAGACUCCUACGGGAGGCAGCAGUGGGGAAUUUUGGACAAUGGGCGAAAGCCUGAUCCAGCAAUGCCGCGUGUGUGAAGAAGGCCUUCGGGUUGUAAAGCACUUUUGUCCGGAAAGAAAUCCUUGGCCCUAAUACGGUCGGGGGAUGACGGUACCGUAAGAAUAAGCACCGGCUAACUACGUG
RNAcentral lists this ribosomal RNA (486 nucleotides) under uncultured bacterium. RNAcentral describes it as "partial 16S ribosomal RNA". It matches the Rfam family "Bacterial small subunit ribosomal RNA", at positions 30 to 507 of the family's 1533-position model. The record is from RNAcentral.